GGCGCAAGGCGUUGAAAAUAAAGUAACUUAUUGUUUUGUAAGCCUUAAGUUUGGGACUCAUAAUCGCUUGGUCGCUGGUUCAAGUCCAGCAGGGGCCACCA
Molecule: transfer RNA, 101 nt
Filed under: Citrobacter freundii
Lineage: Bacteria; Pseudomonadati; Pseudomonadota; Gammaproteobacteria; Enterobacterales; Enterobacteriaceae
Also listed under: 1 other name
Description: tRNA-Ile
Source: RNAcentral